This 400-nucleotide ribosomal RNA is filed under the name uncultured bacterium. RNAcentral describes it as "bacterial SSU rRNA". It matches the Rfam family "Bacterial small subunit ribosomal RNA", at positions 355 to 753 of the family's 1533-position model. The record is from RNAcentral.
UAGGGAAUAUUGGGCAAUGGACGUAAGUCUGACCCAGCCAUGCCGCGUGCAGGAUGACGGCGCUUAGCGUUGUAAACUGCUUUUGUUAAGGAAGAAACCCUCUUUGCGAAGAGGUAUGACGGUACUUAAAGAAUAAGCAUCGGCUAACUACGUGCCAGCAGCCGCGGUAAUACGUAGGAUGCAAGCGUUGUCCGGAAUUAUUGGGUUUAAAGGGUGUGUAGGUUGUUACAUAAGUCAGCGGUGAAAUACAUUUGCUUAACAGAUAGUAAGCCGUUGAUACUGUGUGGCUAGAGUGCGAUAUAGGUGGGCGGAAUUUGUAAUGUAGCGGUGAAAUGCAUAGAUAUUACAAGGAACGUCGAUAGCGAAGGCAGCUCACUGUGUCUGCACUGACACUGAGACA